UCCCUGGAGGACUGGUGGUUAGGCCUUGGCGUUCUCACCGCCAUGGCCCGGGUUCGAUUCCUGGCCAAGGAA
Molecule: non-coding RNA, 72 nt
Organism: Pangasius djambal
Lineage: Eukaryota; Metazoa; Chordata; Actinopteri; Siluriformes; Pangasiidae
Source: the annotation of a GenBank genome assembly